This is a long non-coding RNA of Triticum aestivum (bread wheat), 1447 nucleotides long. RefSeq lists it as uncharacterized. The transcript is spliced from 4 exons. The record is from RefSeq and is a predicted model, not a curated record. NCBI's taxonomy places the organism in Eukaryota, Viridiplantae, Streptophyta, Magnoliopsida, Poales, Poaceae.
GGCGGUGGCCAGCCGAUGGCUUCGGGUGAUGCCAACCGGGACGGCAGCGCAUCCUCGGGAGAGGAGGCGGGAGGAGGAGAAGGAGAGGCCUGGCGGCGGGUGAGGAAGUCUCACUGGCGAGCGGGCUCACGCCGCCGCCUGGCGCGUGGUUUGGAUCGGGGCACUUCCCCGCGGACGAGGAGCGAGCGGACGAAACACGGUCCCGCACGCCGCACCAUGCUGCCUGUUGACGGACGUGAGGGCCACCGCACGGACGCGAGCACCACCAACCCUCCUCUGACGCGUGCGAGAGCAGGCGCCCCGGCCGCCCCCGUCGCGCCAUCUCUGAUGGAUGCGAGAGCAGGCCGCCACUCCUCCGACGAGAAGGCCGUGGCCCCAAUCACGGCUACUCCUCUGCUGCCCCGCGUACGCCGCCGCUCUUCUUCUGACGGACGGGAGAGCAGGCCGCCGCCCCCGCCGCUUCCCCUCCGACGGAUGCGAUAGCAGGCCGCCAUCUCCGCCACUCCUCUGCUGUCCCAUGUACGCCACCGCCGAACAAACAGCACGGCCGCCUGCGCCGCCGACCGCCGCUUCUCAUCGUCUGCAACGACGAAUCUGCUGCUAAUUAAGGUGAUUGGUUCCUUGCUUCUUCUAACUACAACGUGCUGGCUUGCUUUUUCUAAGCGCCGGAAUGCCGGAUCGAUGUUCUUGCUUGCCUUAUCUCACUAUUGAAGCUUUGUGUGGGAUUACCAAGUUGUGAAUUAUCAGGAUUCAGUUCCUGCGGGCACCAUUUAUUUAUUGUGGUGAACACAUAGGACAGAUACACAUCGUGUGUUGCAGAGUUUCAGCGUGCUUCUUCGUUUUGGGAUAUGGGGAGGAUAGAACAGAUACAUAGAUUGCUGUCGCACUCACCAAAGGGAAGAUUGCUGAGUACUUCGCCUAAAUCCAGUGCAAACGACCACCAUGUUCGCCAAGAAGUGGACGAACACCCAGGAGAUUAAGAUUGAUGGUGGAAAACAUUAAUGCUAUGCCACUAUUGUGAAGCAAUUGUGCCUCUCUUGCAUAGGACAAUUCGUUUUGUGUAUAUGAACGUCUUGGAUGCAGUGCAGAAACCAGAUCGAGGCUAUAUUCAGUUCAUGGACUGCUCCAACAACUAUUAUCUCUGGUGUGCUUCCUGAUCUUGUUGCAAGGACAAAUUUAGUCUUCUCCUUUGACUACUAAUCCUUUUUCUUAUAUGUAGGCUUUGUAUCAUGUCCUUUUGAUUAAGUCUGCAAUUUCAUCUUCUUGAUUGUUAUUUCCUUUUAUGUUAAUGUGAGCUUUAUUUAAUUCAUCAUAUACCUAAUAAGUUAGCAAGAAACUCAUGUAUCUCUAAGACUGAAACGAGUAUUGUAAUAACGGAUCAUUGUCACAACCCUUUUCUUGGUCUCGGCCUAUUAAGAAUGAGGCUAAUUUCAAAGUUAGCCAGAAA